GCGUAAGCGCGCGCAGGCGGUUUCUUAAGUCUGAUGUGAAAGCCCACGGCUCAACCGUGGAGGGUCAUUGGAAACUGGGGAACUUGAGUGCAGAAGAGAAAAGCGGAAUUCCACGUGUAGCGGUGAAAUGCGUAGAGAUGUGGAGGAACACCAGUGGCGAAGGCGGCUUUUUGGUCUGUAACUGACGCUGAGGCGCGAAAGCGUGGGGAGCGAACAGGAUUAGAUACCCUGGUAGUCCGCGC
RNAcentral lists this ribosomal RNA (242 nucleotides) under Priestia flexa. Its description in RNAcentral is "Bacillus flexus partial 16S ribosomal RNA". It matches the Rfam family "Bacterial small subunit ribosomal RNA", at positions 563 to 800 of the family's 1533-position model. Lineage: Bacteria; Bacillati; Bacillota; Bacilli; Caryophanales; Bacillaceae. The record is from RNAcentral.